This is a long non-coding RNA of Vicia villosa (hairy vetch), 2560 nucleotides long. RefSeq lists it as uncharacterized. NCBI's taxonomy places the organism in Eukaryota, Viridiplantae, Streptophyta, Magnoliopsida, Fabales, Fabaceae. The transcript is spliced from 7 exons. The record is from RefSeq and is a predicted model, not a curated record.
UUCAAGUAAGCAUUAUUAAAAUUGGUCGUGAAUGGUCACAACAUUCUGCCGGGUCUCACGUUUCCCGGCUGAUAAGUUUUUUUCAAAAUCUAUCCAGCUACCCCUUGAACAAAUCACCAUGCUAUCUGAGGUUUCAAAUACCACUAACAUUUGUAGUUUAAAAUUAUUAAACAUGUUUUUAUGUUAACUGCUCCUUAUUUCUUAAUGUUCUGCAGCCAACAUUGUGUGUUAAUGUUGCUACUACUAACCAAGUAAUUGCUAAUCCAAAUGAAUGGUACCACAAAGCAUGCCACCAGUGCCUUCAGGUUGCAAAGAGCGACGCUCCAUCUUACUUUUGCAGGGACGGACACCGAACUUAGACGUAGACAUGGAGGUUUAAGAUAGUUAUCGAAGUUGUGCAUGAAGGAAAUGCGGCGAACUUCGUGUUCUGGGACAAUGAGGCUGCUGAACUUUUAAAAACAACUGCUGCACAUCUUCGUGCAACCAUGAAAGAGGUUGUUGCUGCGUAUAUGAUGAGUCAAACUCUAAAUGAGAAGGGAUACAAUGCAUAUGCCUUCUCCAUUCCUUCAGGGAAGGAGUUUCUGUCCAUACUUAGUCUUGCUGCUCCUGUAUUUGUGACAUUGAUGUUGAAGGUGGCUUUCUACUAUCUACUUAUAUAUUUUGCUACAAUGAGUACACAUAAAAUGGUUGCUUAUCAAGUUAGUUUUUCUCUGAAAUCUGGAAGUGAAAUAGUGAUGAGUUAUUACGUUUAGCUUUUUAAAUCUGGUUUUUUGUUCUAUUUGUAGGUUAGCGAUUGGUUCGUCACGGGUCAGUGUUUGUUUUGUUUGUAUCACAGGAAAUGUUUUUUCCUUUGGAGAAUCGAGGGCUUUAACAGGUGCGGGAAAGUUUGGCUACUUAAAGAUUCACCGGCGGGCUACAAAAAACUAUUACCAAUUUCAUUACUUCAGGAUAAGCCAAUAGGAAAAAGAAUUCAUUUUCAGAUUUUACAGAUAAUUACUUUCUCAGUGAUACAGCAACUGAUUUGGAUAAGUCUUUCGUCAUUGUUUGCCUUCAAUGCCCGAAUCAACCAAAUAACCGCACAUGUUAAACCAUGUUGUGUGAUAAUGAUGCAGGGCAGAACCGAGUCAUACAACUGUUGUACCGAAUGAUCUCGGGGCUGAACAGGGUCAUACAAAUGUUAUACUGAAUGAUGCAGGGGCAAAACCGAGUCCUACAGCUGAUAUACUGAACAUUGUAGGUACUGGCUGAAGGCAAAACCGAGUCCUCAGAUUCAUGGAGGUUCUGGUGGAAUUGAUAUAUUUGCGAUUCAGGCAGCGAAGUUGGGCAGAUCGAGAGUAAUUGUUGUUGCAGGUGAUGAAGAGAGGCUAUCUUAUUGCGAGAGUAUGGGAAGCAAUUGUUCCACAAAAUAUGCACCCUCAAUAACCUUUUUUUUCUUCAACUGCUCUUCAAGGGUCAUUGUGCUUAGAUUAAUCUGAUUUUCUCUCCAUGCCUCUAUGCAUAUGGAUUCUCUUGCACUCUGAUGCUGGUCCAAGGAUUGCUUCAGUGGCUGGAAUCCUUAGCACUUAGCUACAUAGAUUAGAUGCUUUUUUUCAUUUCAAGAGGGUGGCAAAUUGAUCCCUUUGGCCAUUAUGCUGUGCAGGCUUACUUAUUGGAGUUGAAGUAUGCCAUAAAAUUUCAAAACAAUGGCUCUUUUGCUUAACAUAUUCUGAAAAACUAAUUAAUCAUCAAGAUUUAAACAAAUUGCCGAUGGUGUUGUUGGUUUGUCGAAUCAUGGAGGUGGAAACUGGUAUCAUUUCGGUCAUGCAACAAAGGGAGUAAUAGUCAGUGUAAAACUAAUAGUUCGGAAAAAGUCGACCAAUUGCUGAUGGACAAUUGCUGUAAGUAUAAUCUAUUUUUUACUUUGUAUACACAUACCGUCAGUCUAAAGUACUUGAGAUUUGGAGUCAAUCUAAUGUUGGUUUCAAUAGUUUAAACACAUUUUGCUUUCCUAACGUGAUUCAUAGCCCAAGUGAUGAUACCGCCAGUUUAAACAUGCUUCGAAUCUUCGGGACUGGUAUUGCUGAACUUCCUUUAGUUCCAACAAGUAACAGUCAUUAUGGGAAGAUGAGACAUUACUGGAUGCAUGUCUCACUUGCAUCGUACACUUUUCUUUAUUUCAGUGAAACUUUGUGCUAAAAUUUUGAGUGGUUUGCCGUGUAUUGUGGUCACUUGCGGAAAUAACUUGGUAUUGCAUUAAUUAUACUUAUUUUGGUUUGGUAAAAAACAUGUCUACUUCCAAACACUCUUCUCCUGCCUUAAAAGGCUACUGGCCUUUAUGAAAGUAAAGAAAAUUGUGGUACCGACGGCAGAUGAAACAAUUUCGGUUUAUCAAAAUUCUGAUCUGAUAUAGCGGCAUAACGCUGCUAUAAUUGCUAUUUAAUCAUGAGAACCAAUUGAUUCUUGGACGAGAAGAGAAGUGAGAACCAAUAAAUUUCUUAUAGAAUAUUAUUUUUGUAGUUAAAUAUAUGACCUUAUAGCUUACUGGUGUGCAUAGCUGUAUUUGACGAAUAUGUUAUUAAUG